AUCUUUGCGCAGUGGCAGUAUCGUAGCCUAUGAGGUUUAUCCGAGGCGUGAUUAUUGCUAGUUGAAAACUUUACCCAAUACCCUGCCUUGCUGACUUGAAAUAUAGUCAGCAAUGGCAAUUUUUGGCGGUCUCUGAAGAGA
RNAcentral lists this small nuclear RNA (141 nucleotides) under Salarias fasciatus (jewelled blenny). RNAcentral's name for it is "U4 spliceosomal RNA (ENSSFAG00005012689.1)". It matches the Rfam family "U4 spliceosomal RNA". From Rfam's summary of the family: U4 small nuclear RNA (U4 snRNA) is a component of the major U2-dependent spliceosome. Lineage: Eukaryota; Metazoa; Chordata; Actinopteri; Blenniiformes; Blenniidae. The record is from Rfam by way of RNAcentral.